Peromyscus leucopus (white-footed mouse) is the source of this 982-nucleotide long non-coding RNA. RefSeq lists it as uncharacterized. NCBI's taxonomy places the organism in Eukaryota, Metazoa, Chordata, Mammalia, Rodentia, Cricetidae. The record is from RefSeq and is a predicted model, not a curated record. The transcript has 3 exons.
CCUGCGCUCGAGCCCGAGCAGCCUGGGGCGGGCCCGGCGGGCAGGGGCGCGUGGCCUCGGCGGCGAGCCCCGCCGUGGAUUCCGGGAGAGCAUCGUGGAGCAAUGUCCGAAACGGAGCAAGGACCAAACGCGAAAGCCUGGCCUCCCUGGAGCCCCGUGGACUCGGCCCCCUGGGCUGUGGUGUGGGCAGGGGAGCAUUCGGGCUUUGGGAUUUUCAAAAAGUACCCCAUGCACAGCCAGGGGAGACUCCCUGGUGAAACCGGGACCCAGACUCCGGCUGCCUUGAGGCUGUUCUGGCGGAGAACGCCAGGGCCUCCCUGCCGCUCCAGGCGGAGCGGGCUGUCGUUCAGUUUCUGGAAGCCCAGUACGCAGCAGCCAUUCUCGGAAUGGCGAGUCUGAGACCCUGUCCUUUAGGCCAGCCAAGGAAGCAGGGAUCCAGUGCCUUCUGCCUCCAUGGAUAUCACGCAUGCACGUGGUGUACAGACAUCCAGAAUCUAGACCAGCACCCAAAUCAUGGAGCUCAGUAACUAUUUACUGGAUAUGAGAAUGUACAUGAUGGGAUAGAGAGUGAAAUUUCCGGAAGGCCCUGGAACCCUCUGUGUACAAAUGGUGCUUUGAGACCUACAGAGCUAAGAGAGCAGCUCAAAUGGAGCACAUUUAGAGAUCUAACUAGCAAACUUGAAGAGUGCGUCUGUUUAACGAGAGCCUUUACAGAAUGGAGUGAGGGGUAACAGUUAACCAUUUAAGGCUAAAGAUUAUGUUAUAUGCUUAUAAUUCCAGGCCUUGAGAAACUGAGGCAGGAGAAUCACAGGUUCCAGGCAAGCCUGGGCUAUGCUGGUAGAUUCCAUCUCAAAAAAAUUUAAAAGCUACUUGCCUCUGUCUCUUUGGCUCUGAAUUCCACAAAAUUCCUGGUUAUUUUCAGGUAGCCCCUGAUGCCUGUCCCUUCAGCCUCCAUUUAGUGAUUAAGAUGGCUUAAAUGAAA